This 429-nucleotide ribosomal RNA is filed under the name Verrucomicrobiota bacterium. RNAcentral describes it as "Verrucomicrobia bacterium partial 16S ribosomal RNA". It matches the Rfam family "Bacterial small subunit ribosomal RNA", at positions 355 to 776 of the family's 1533-position model. Lineage: Bacteria; Pseudomonadati; Verrucomicrobiota. The record is from RNAcentral.
UAGGGAAUCUUCCGCAAUGGACGAAAGUCUGACGGAGCAACGCCGCGUGAGUGAAGAAGGAUUUCGGUUCGUAAAACUCUGUUGUUAGGGAAGAAAAAAUGUAUAGUAACUAUAUACAAAAGAGACGGUACCUAACCAGAAAGCCACGGCUAACUACGUGCCAGCAGCCGCGGUAAUACGUAGGUGGCAAGCGUUGUCCGGAAUUAUUGGGCGUAAAGCGCGCGCAGGUGGUUUAGAAAGUCUGAUGUGAAAGCCCACGGCUCAACCGUGGAGGGUCAUUGGAAACUAAUAAACUUGAGUGCAGGAGAGAAAAGUGGAAUUCCUAGUGUAGCGGUGAAAUGCGUAGAGAUUAGGAGGAACACCGGUGGCGAAAGCGGCUUUUUGGCCUGCAACUGACACUGACGCGCGAAAGCGUGGGGAGCAAACAGG